AGUGGCAGGAGAGAAGAUGUAUGUUCAGAGGCAGCCUGAGCUGCCUGUGUUCCCAAGGCAUCCUUUCUAAGGAAUCCAGGCCAAGGUCACCACCACCACACGUGCUUUCUGUGGCAGCCUCAUAGCAGAGAUGUCAUUGGCAAUGUUGAGCCUUCUGAAGAGGAAAAGACAGCCAGCGCUUCUGUUGUUCUCAUAUUCUGCAUAUUUUAUUGCCUUCACCAAUGGAUGGCAACACAAAGUUUUGUGGAUCUACUGAUUGUUAAUACAGUGGUGCCUCUGCCGUUUCAUAAAGGUCAUUCUGUCACAAAUCUUGUCUGCAGAGGCUCAUUCAGCUAAAGACUCCACAAAACUUGGCUUCACCUCUGCUCAUUUCAACAGUUUAGUGAAGAAAUGACACGUCAUCUGAUUAUCUGAUGCUAUAGCCAGUGGUUUAAGUUUAUGAUCUCAUCGUCAACUUAACAAAGAUGUCAUAGACUUUUCUGAUUGUAAAAUGAAUGGCUAUCCAGGAGUGAAGGAUUGCUCCAUUCCACAUCCUUACUUUCUUGACCUUUGGGCUUUGGUGGGACCUUUGAAAGCAUUUGACAAUGUACCCAAAUUUGUAAAUUAACAAAGUCUCAGAGACCCUUAAGUGACAAGGCAUACAGUGAUCGUAAACAUACCCUAAUUGAAACCUUUUGUAUUGGUAAAUGAGAAAAUGAGGUUCAGAGAUAUUACACUAUUAUAAAGAGAAGAGCUGGUGGUGGCAUGCAGGUUUAACCCUCCUCCUAGUUCUUGUCCUUCCUCGCUCAUUUAACCAACUGACUGCUUAUGGAAUGCCAGGCAUUAUGUAAGGUGCUAGAGAGUCAACAGCAAUAAAAACAGUUUCUGCUUGGAGGCCUUAUAAUCUAGUAUGGAAGGCAGACAAGAAGAGGAAAGUAUAAUAAGUACUGGUAUAGGGAUUUCAGCCUUUCUGUCCGCAUGCCCAGUACCUGAUCUGUUCAUAAUGGAUCCUUGUAAGUGAGUCUUGCAUCUUGGGGCUAUUUUGAAUCAUAUUCUGGGAAACUCUCCACCAUUCUUUCAGGAUACCAGAAUGUCAAGAACUCAAGGAUCAUUGACACCCUGUGAUCAAGUCUUUCAUCUUACCUAUUAGGCAAUUUCAUUGUAUUAAGAUCAAUUUGGUGGAAAUUUAUCUAUGAAAGUUCAGCAGUAACACUACAUUUCUGAUGAAGUCUUGACAGUUUAAAGUUGACAAUAAAUGCCAAAAGCUUACCUUUUUAAAACUCUUCAAUAGGCCUAACCUAUGUAAAGCAUUGCAAAUAAAGUUAAA
This is a non-coding RNA of Equus caballus (horse), 1306 nucleotides long. The record is from RefSeq and is a predicted model, not a curated record. NCBI's taxonomy places the organism in Eukaryota, Metazoa, Chordata, Mammalia, Perissodactyla, Equidae.